RNAcentral lists this ribosomal RNA (2906 nucleotides) under Citrobacter freundii. RNAcentral describes it as "23S ribosomal RNA". It matches the Rfam family "Bacterial large subunit ribosomal RNA". Lineage: Bacteria; Pseudomonadati; Pseudomonadota; Gammaproteobacteria; Enterobacterales; Enterobacteriaceae. The record is from RNAcentral.
GGUUAAGCGACUAAGCGUACACGGUGGAUGCCCUGGCAGUCAGAGGCGAUGAAGGACGUGCUAAUCUGCGAUAAGCGUCGGUAAGGUGAUAUGAACCGUUAUAACCGGCGAUUUCCGAAUGGGGAAACCCAGUGUGUUUCGACACACUAUCAUUACGUGAAUACAUAGCGUAAUGAAGCGAACCGGGGGAACUGAAACAUCUAAGUACCCCGAGGAAAAGAAAUCAACCGAGAUUCCCCCAGUAGCGGCGAGCGAACGGGGAGCAGCCCAGAGUCUGAAUCAGCUUGUGUGUUAGUGGAACGGUCUGGAAAGUCCGACGGUACAGGGUGAUAGUCCCGUACACCAAAAUGCACAGGUUGUGAACUCGAAGAGUAGGGCGGGACACGUGGUAUCCUGUCUGAAUAUGGGGGGACCAUCCUCCAAGGCUAAAUACUCCUGACUGACCGAUAGUGAACCAGUACCGUGAGGGAAAGGCGAAAAGAACCCCGGCGAGGGGAGUGAAAAAGAACCUGAAACCGUGUACGUACAAGCAGUGGGAGCCUCUUUAUGGGGUGACUGCGUACCUUUUGUAUAAUGGGUCAGCGACUUAUAUUCUGUAGCAAGGUUAACCGUAUAGGGGAGCCGAAGGGAAACCGAGUCUUAACUGGGCGUUAAGUUGCAGGGUAUAGACCCGAAACCCGGUGAUCUAGCCAUGGGCAGGUUGAAGGUUGGGUAACACUAACUGGAGGACCGAACCGACUAAUGUUGAAAAAUUAGCGGAUGACUUGUGGCUGGGGGUGAAAGGCCAAUCAAACCGGGAGAUAGCUGGUUCUCCCCGAAAGCUAUUUAGGUAGCGCCUCGUGAAUUCAUCUUCGGGGGUAGAGCACUGUUUCGGCUAGGGGGUCAUCCCGACUUACCAACCCGAUGCAAACUGCGAAUACCGAAGAAUGUUAUCACGGGAGACACACGGCGGGUGCUAACGUCCGUCGUGAAGAGGGAAACAACCCAGACCGCCAGCUAAGGUCCCAAAGUCAUGGUUAAGUGGGAAACGAUGUGGGAAGGCACAGACAGCCAGGAUGUUGGCUUAGAAGCAGCCAUCAUUUAAAGAAAGCGUAAUAGCUCACUGGUCGAGUCGGCCUGCGCGGAAGAUGUAACGGGGCUAAACCAUGCACCGAAGCUGCGGCAGCGACACUAUGUGUUGUUGGGUAGGGGAGCGUUCUGUAAGCCGUUGAAGGUGUAUCGUGAGGUAUGCUGGAGGUAUCAGAAGUGCGAAUGCUGACAUAAGUAACGAUAAUGCGGGUGAAAAACCCGCACGCCGGAAGACCAAGGGUUCCUGUCCAACGUUAAUCGGGGCAGGGUGAGUCGACCCCUAAGGCGAGGCCGAAAGGCGUAGUCGAUGGGAAACAGGUUAAUAUUCCUGUACUUGGUGUUACUGCGAAGGGGGGACGGAGAAGGCUAUGUUAGCCGGGCGACGGUUGUCCCGGUUUAAGCAUGUAGGCGGAGGUUCCAGGUAAAUCCGGUACCUUUUAACGCUGAGGUGUGAUGACGAGGCACUACGGUGCUGAAGUAACAAAUGCCCUGCUUCCAGGAAAAGCCUCUAAGCAUCAGGUAACACGAAAUCGUACCCCAAACCGACACAGGUGGUCAGGUAGAGAAUACCAAGGCGCUUGAGAGAACUCGGGUGAAGGAACUAGGCAAAAUGGUGCCGUAACUUCGGGAGAAGGCACGCUGAUAUGUAGGUGAAGUGAUUUACUCAUGGAGCUGAAAUCAGUCGAAGAUACCAGCUGGCUGCAACUGUUUAUUAAAAACACAGCACUGUGCAAACACGAAAGUGGACGUAUACGGUGUGACGCCUGCCCGGUGCCGGAAGGUUAAUUGAUGGGGUUAUCCGUAAGGAGAAGCUCUUGAUCGAAGCCCCGGUAAACGGCGGCCGUAACUAUAACGGUCCUAAGGUAGCGAAAUUCCUUGUCGGGUAAGUUCCGACCUGCACGAAUGGCGUAAUGAUGGCCAGGCUGUCUCCACCCGAGACUCAGUGAAAUUGAACUCGCUGUGAAGAUGCAGUGUACCCGCGGCAAGACGGAAAGACCCCGUGAACCUUUACUAUAGCUUGACACUGAACACUGGUCCUUGAUGUGUAGGAUAGGUGGGAGGCUUUGAAGUGUGGACGCCAGUCUGCAUGGAGCCAUCCUUGAAAUACCACCCUUUAAUGGCUGGUGUUCUAACGUGGACCCGUAAUCCGGGUUGCGGACAGUGUCUGGUGGGUAGUUUGACUGGGGCGGUCUCCUCCUAAAGAGUAACGGAGGAGCACGAAGGUUAGCUAAUCCUGGUCGGACAUCAGGAGGUUAGUGCAAAGGCAUAAGCUAGCUUGACUGCGAGAGUGACGGCUCGAGCAGGUGCGAAAGCAGGUCUUAGUGAUCCGGUGGUUCUGAAUGGAAGGGCCAUCGCUCAACGGAUAAAAGGUACUCCGGGGAUAACAGGCUGAUACCGCCCAAGAGUUCAUAUCGACGGCGGUGUUUGGCACCUCGAUGUCGGCUCAUCACAUCCUGGGGCUGAAGUAGGUCCCAAGGGUAUGGCUGUUCGCCAUUUAAAGUGGUACGCGAGCUGGGUUUAGAACGUCGUGAGACAGUUCGGUCCCUAUCUGCCGUGGGCGCUGGAGAAUUGAGGGGGGCUGCUCCUAGUACGAGAGGACCGGAGUGGACGCAUCACUGGUGUUCGGGUUGUCAUGCCAAUGGCAUUGCCCGGUAGCUAAAUGCGGAAGAGAUAAGUGCUGAAAGCAUCUAAGCACGAAACUUGCCCCGAGAUGAGUUCUCCCUGAGACUAUAAGUCUCCUGAAGGAACGUUAAAGACGAUGACGUUGAUAGGUCGGGUGUGUAAGCGUAGCGAUACGUUGAGCUAACCGAUACUAAUGAACCGUGAGGCUUAACCUU